CGUGGAAGUUUGAAGGGUGUGUGGUGGAUGCCUAGACUCUAUAGAGCGAUGAAGGACGUAGCCUGUCUGCGAAAAGUUUCGGGGAGCUGACGAGCAAGCAUUGAUCCGAAAAUGUCCGAAUGGGGAAACCCAUCUUCUUACGGAAGAUAUCUCGAGCGCGUGUUCGAGAAGCGCACCUAGGGAAGUGAAACAUCUCAGUACCUAGAGGAAAAGAGACCAACAGGAUAUCUCGGUCUCUCUGCAAAUUUAUUUUUGCCGAGGGACCGGGAUUCUGGAAUUCCCCGAGUAGCGGCGAGCGAAACGGGAGAAGCCCAAACCUACGCAUCACAAUGUGUGUGAUGCAGAAAAAAAGAUUUGAAGAAAUAAUAUUCUUCAAAAAUUUUAGUAUCGUACAUAGUGUGAUGCGUGGGGGUUGUAAGGCGAUAGCGUUCCAUUUAUGGAAGGAAAGUCAUCAAUGAUUUUUGUAGCGGAAUCUGCUGGGAAGCAGAACCCUAGAGGGUAACGGUCCCGUACGCGAAACAAAAGUCACUUUCUUGUUGUCGUUCUUGAGUAAUCCGAGACAUGAAUAGCUUGGAUGAAUCUGCCGGGACUAACCGGCAAGGCUAAAUAUCUAUAGAGAUCGAUAGUGAACCAGUACCGUGAGGGAAAGGUGAAAAGUAGUCCGAUGAGGACAGUGAAAUAGUUCUGAAACCACACAUCUACAAGGAGUCGAAGAGGUGCAUGCACCUCGACGGCGUGCCUAUUGAAGAAUGAGCCGGCGAGUUUACGCACACGGCAUGGCUAAGGGCGUUAGCCCGGAGCCGAAGGGAAACCGAGUGUGAAUAGCGCGAAAAGUCGCGUGCGUAAGACCCGAAGCCAGGUGAGCUUGUCAUGAGCAGGGUGAAGUUUGUCGAAAGACAGAUGGAGGCCCGAACCCGUUGAUCGUAUAACGUCUUGGGAUGACUUGUGACAAGGAGUGAAAAGCUUAUCGAACCUGGUAAUAGCUGGUUCUCUCCGAAACAGCUUUUGGGCUGGCGUCUGAUGUUUCUCCCGGGGGUAGAGCACUGGAAGGAUCAAACAGGGAGCAAUCUCGUUGAUCCUAUCAAACUCCGAAUACCGGCGAGCGCAGUCAGGCAGUUAGACGAUGGGGGCUAAGCUCCAUAUGUCGAGAAGGGAAGAGCCUAGAUCUCAAGUUAAGGUCCCUAAAUUCGUGCUGAGUGCAUCACAAGGAAGUGGAAGUUCUAAGACAGUGAGGAUGUUGGCUUAGAAGCAGCCACCAUUUAAAGAAAGCGUAACAGCUCACUCAUCGAGAACUUCUGCGCCGAAGAUAAUCGGGGCUAAGCACGAUACCGAAACUGAGGGCUUAAUGCGAAUCCGUUUGCAUUGAGCGGUAGGAGAGCGUUCCAAACCGCGAUGAAGGAUAAGGGGUGACCCAUUCUGGAGCGUUUGGAAGUGAGAAUGCCGGCACAAGUAACCACAAUACGGGUGAGAACCCCGUACGCCGAAAGAUCGAGGUUUCCUUGGCACUGAUAAUCAGCCAAGGGUUAGUCGGGCCUAAGCAAAUGGCGAAAGCCGAACGCGAUGGACAUAGGGUUAAUAUUCCCUAACCUCGCGCUGGUGCGAUGGAGAGACGGAGGGUUGUACAUGGUGCACAUAAUUGGAUUUGUGUUUGUAGCGUGAGGGCGUAUCUUCAGGAAAAUCCGGGAUACAUUACCCCAAGCGAAGCAUAAACUUCUUGAUUCGUCAGGAGGAAUACCAUGGAGCACGCUUCCAAGAAAAUCUUCUAAGCUAUAGCCAGCGAGAGACCGUACCGCAAACCAACACAGGUGAUCAGGUCGAGUAGACCAAGGCGAACGAGUGAGAGGUCCUCAAGGAACUCGGCAAAACAGCGGCCGUAACUUCGGGAUAAGGCCCGCCUCCUAUUAAGUUAGGAGGCCGCAGCGAAAGAUUUCCAAUCGACUGUUUAUCAAAAACACAGCUCCCUGCGAACUCGCAAGAGGAUGUAUAGGGGGUGACACCUGACCAAUGCCAGAAGGUCAACUAAGGUUGGUGCAUGGUAGCAAUACUGUGUGCUGGACUUUAUAAGCCCUGGUCAAUGUCGGCGAUAACUAUAAUCGUCCUAAGGUAGCGUAAUUCCUUGUCUGGUAAGUUCAGACGUGCACGAAUGGUGUAACGAGUUGGAAACUGUCUCGAGGACUUGCUCGGUGAAAAUACAAUACCGGUGAAGAUGCCGGUUACUCAUAGUUAGACGAAAAGACCCCAGAAGCUUUACUGUAGCUUCGUAUUGGGAUUGCGAUGCAUAUGCGUAGCAUAGACGGGAGAGGUUGAAGCGCUGAUUUUGGUUGGCGUGGACUCAACAGUGAAAUACCGUUCUUAUGUGUUGCAAUUUCUAACCUCAGGCAAAACACCUGGGAGACAGUGCGUGGCAGGCAGUUUGAGUGGGGCGCUCUCCUCCCAAAAAGUAACGGAGGAGCCUACAAAGGUCAGCUAGGCGCGAAUGGAAACCGUGCCGGUCGUGUAAUGGCACAAGCUGGCUUAACUGCGAGACGUACAUGUCGAGCAGACACGAAAGUGGAGCAUAGUGAUCCGACCUUAUGCAUUAGAUGCAGGGGAAGCCCAACGGAUAAAAGUUACUCUGGGGAUAACAGGCUAGUUCCGCCUAAGCGUCCAUAGCGACGGCGGAGUUCGGCACCUCGAUGUCGGCUCACCACAUCCCGGAGCUGGAGAAGGUUCCAAGGGUUUGGCUGUUCGCCAAUUAAAGUGGUACGCGAGCUGGGUUCAGACCGUUCAGUUGCUGAAAAUUUUUCGGCGCUUGGACAGUCUGAACCCGAUCGAGAAAAUGAAAGUUAUCCGAAAUAUAUAAAAGGUUUUUCGUCAGAAAAAAGAGUAAAGAGUCAACCAAUCACGGCGGUCUUGCAUGGGAACAUGCAAGAAGAAAUCAACUUAUAUCGGUGAAGCCCAAUUCACAUUCGUGUGAAGGGUAAUACCGAGGGAAUAGACGCAGAAAGUAGUUGUCAGUACGCAGUUAGCAGAAAAUUCAUUCUGCAUACUGCAAUCUGUACACUGCCCACUUCUUCUUGCCCCUAGAGACUGAAUGUUGAACAUCCAGAACGGAUGAAGUUACAGUCCAAUGCACGAAGGUAAUUCGUGAAAACAUGCGUGAGACAGGUUGGUCUCCUAUCUACUAUGAGCGUUGAUACUUGAGGAGAGUCGUCCUUAGUACGAGAGGACCGGGAUGAACUGACCUCUGGUCUAUCUGUUGUUCCGCCAGGAGCAUUGCAGAGUAGCUAUGUCGGGAAGGGAUAACCGCUGAAAGCAUCUAAGCGGGAAGCCUCCUCCAAGAUUAGGUAUCGUUAAGGCCCGUGAGAGAUGAUCACGUUGAUAGGCUUUAGGUGUACAUGCAGUAAUGCAUUGAGCCAAGAAGUACUAAUUCGCCGAUUCUGCGGG
This 3426-nucleotide ribosomal RNA is filed under the name Minisyncoccota bacterium. RNAcentral's name for it is "23S ribosomal RNA". It matches the Rfam family "Bacterial large subunit ribosomal RNA". The record is from RNAcentral. Lineage: Bacteria; Bacillati; Minisyncoccota.